UAAAAUGUUUUUUUGAUUUUCAGCCAAUCAGAAAGCAGCACGACUCAAAUAGAACUCCCGUGAGGUCACACAUGUGAUGUCAUCACCACUGUCAUCAGUCAGGGGCCUAAACUGUAGGAACCUAGGAAUGCAACUUCAUACCCGCCUGUGACUGAUGCACACUUUCCAGGCUGUGGGGCAGCACAUACACUGACACAUUGGCCCAAAUUCUAGAGGUAACCUCCUUUAGUAUGCCCAGAGGAAGGGCAGUACAGUAGCCAUGGAUUCCCUACAGGUUUCCUCCCCUCUGGAGGUUUUUCCUGUCCUGAGUUAGUUACUGUCCGCUCUUUGUGAGUGAUGGAGGUUACAUAAAAU
Hyla sarda is the source of this 354-nucleotide long non-coding RNA. RefSeq lists it as uncharacterized. Lineage: Eukaryota; Metazoa; Chordata; Amphibia; Anura; Hylidae. The transcript has 2 exons. The record is from RefSeq and is a predicted model, not a curated record.